Molecule: transfer RNA, 77 nt
Filed under: Blaesodactylus antongilensis
Lineage: Eukaryota; Metazoa; Chordata; Lepidosauria; Squamata; Gekkonidae
Also listed under: 1 other name
Description: tRNA-Trp
Source: RNAcentral
AGAAAUUUAGGUUAACAACCACUAAACCAAGGGCCUUCAAAGCCCUAAACAGAGGACCCCGAACCCUCUAAUUUCUG